ACAGGCGACGGAACAGUAGGGACAGGUGUUGCGCGUUUCGGUGGUCGUCGU
This 51-nucleotide small RNA is filed under the name Sinorhizobium meliloti 2011. RNAcentral's name for it is "putative ncRNA". Lineage: Bacteria; Pseudomonadati; Pseudomonadota; Alphaproteobacteria; Hyphomicrobiales; Rhizobiaceae. The record is from RNAcentral.